UAUAAUAGAAUACUAUUUAGGCUUUAAAAAAAGCCUGUCAUUUGUGACAUCGGAAGAACCCAGAGGUAGUAAUAUUAAACAUAAGCCACACACAGAAAAACAAAUACUGCACGAUCUUACUUAUAUAUUUAAGUUUGCAUUUGCUUUAUUAACUGUAGAAAGAGGUGUGUUAAGGUCUACCAAUAUGACUGUAGUUUUUGCCUUUUGCCUUUCUAUUUUUGUUUAUAUAUUUUGGGACCAUAUUAUUUUUUGAAUACAAAUUUAGAGUUUUUAUAUCUUCUUCAUGAAUCUAAUCUUUAUUAUUUACAGUAACUCUCUUUCUCUAAGACAUAGAUAGUGUUAAAGUCUAUUUUAGUUUAAACGACUAUAAUUAACACCAGGGUUUUUUGGUUAGUGUACUUUUCUGUGGUCUUUUAAUGUUGCUGUGUUUCUAUAUGCUAAAUGCAUCUCUUGUGAGCAUCGUAAACCGGUAUGAUUAUUUUCUUCUUCCAGGUUUCCAAUCUUUGCCCUUUAACUGAAGGUUGUUUUGCUAUCCAUUCACCUUACACCGAGGCUGCAGUUGCUUAGAAAUGCAGACUGAAUGCAGUCUUUACUGUUAGACUCUCUACUUAGGGUGGACUUCCUGAGCCUUGAGAAGCCAUCUGAAUGAGAAUAAAGGUAUAAACUAUUCACGUAUGAAGAACCUACUAUGCAGACUUUUCAGUGGAAACCUCAUAGCCCAGGAAAUGGUGGCAUGACACACUUAAUGUGCCAGCCUAGGACAUCAAGAGGCAAGGGGCAGCUUUGAGUUCAUGAGGACCAACUCGACUUUGUCUCCAGAGAGCAAACCAUUGAUGGGUAAGACACUUCCAAGAAUCUCAUCAAAAUUUGCCUUUUCUUUCACAAAUUUAGGCGGCAAUAUGCUCAAAUUCAGAUUGCUCAAGUUAACUUCGUUGCUGCUCUGUGCACAGGCCACGGGUCUCAGUGCAACACAGAAGCCCUUCCUGAGGAUCAUGUCUGAGAGGCCAGACUUCUUUAGACAAAGUGUAGUUUCACUUGCCCCAGCUCUCCCUGCAUAUGUCAGAUCAGCCUACUUGUAAUAAAAUUCACACAAAGAAUUUCCAGUGGGAAUCUCUCUGAACUGGAUAGGCAGCUCUCUCCAGCACUGCCACCAGAUGUUUCUACACCAGAGCAUUUUCCAGCCUCUGAAUGUUCUGGCGUCCUCCCUAGUGAUCUCCCAGUACCUGCAGGUCACAGGAUAACAGGGGCUGCGGUAGCCUCACCUAGGAGCUCCUGGAGCAGGGGAGACACAACAGUGGCAGAAACUUGAUUUCUAAUGGAGCUGUGUUGGGAGGAGGGACCCAAAGGGGGAUGUUUGAAUCAUGGGGACACUCCACUCAUGAAUGAAUUAAUUAUAUUAUCACGAGAGUGGAUCCCUUAUUAAAAGACAAAUUUGUCUCCUCUUACUUUCUCUCAUGCCCUAUUUGCGCUUCAAUCAUGAGAUGACACACCAAGAGGGUCCUCACAAAAUGCCAGCCCAUUGAUCUUGGAUUUUCCAGCCUCUAGAACUGUGAGCCAGUCCAUUUCUGUUCAUUAUAGAUUACCCAGUGUGUUGUAUUCUGUUAUAGCUGUGCAAAAUGGACUAAAGCAGCAAGAGAUCAGGAUUUUGUUUCUGGUCCAUCUUUUGUAUUGGCAAAUGAGCCGACUGUAUAGUUUAUGUCGUAAGAAGCGCAGAUAUAAAAAGAUAAUACAUUCAGUGUUUUCUCUUUCAUGUUCAUUCAACUAAAUGAGUUAUGGCAAGUGUGAGAGGUGAGGGUGGGAAAAACACAAAGGUAAAUGUGGCAUAUUGGGAGCUGGUAUGAAGUCUUAAUCUCAGAAGUUAGGAGGCCUGCAUUUGUACGUCACCACUCCUAUCUUCCAAAUCUUGGGCAGGUUAUACAGCAUAAUUAAUCCUCAACUGCCUUACCUGUGAAAUAAUACUAAUGAUGCCUAUCUUAUAAAAUUAUUUUGAAGAUUAAAAAAAAUUUGACUUAGCAUUUGACACGUAAUAUCUUCUUCAUAAAUGGAAGUUACUGUUAUUUUUUAUUAAGAUAGAGCCCUUGGCAUGUGGAAGCCACAGUUUGGCUCUUAUUAUACUAAAGACUGUGAUGAGAAUAAAGAGUGCUAUAAUCUUCAUACACACAAAAUGUUAUGGGGCAUUUGGAGAAGAAAGACAGACAGUGAGAGAGACAGUGGGAAGAGGGAGAGAGGUUAUUUCUACCUGGAAAAUUUGGGAAGGUAUAAUUUGAAGAGCUAUUAGAGUAUUAUGUCAGACCACAGAACUAGCUGUGAACAUAUGACCUCUGGAAAUACUGAGAUAAUGGCUUUUCCUCAACUUCAUAAACUGCUAAUUUCUUGAGUUUUGAGACAGCCU
This is a long non-coding RNA of Sapajus apella (tufted capuchin), 2392 nucleotides long. RefSeq lists it as uncharacterized. The record is from RefSeq and is a predicted model, not a curated record. Lineage: Eukaryota; Metazoa; Chordata; Mammalia; Primates; Cebidae. The transcript is spliced from 3 exons.